AUCUGGCUGAAGAGUCCCAAAUAUGACGAAAUGCGCAUCUUGGAA
RNAcentral lists this non-coding RNA (45 nucleotides) under Schistosoma mattheei. Lineage: Eukaryota; Metazoa; Platyhelminthes; Trematoda; Strigeidida; Schistosomatidae. The record is from RNAcentral.